UAAUACGAAGGGGGCUAGCGUUGUUCGGAAUUACUGGGCGUAAAGCGCACGUAGGCGGAUCGAUCAGUCAGGGGUGAAAUCCCAGGGCUCAACCCUGGAACUGCCUUUGAUACUGUCGAUCUGGAGUAUGGAAGAGGCGAGUGGAAUUCCGAGUGUAGAGGUGAAAUUCGUAGAUAUUCGGAGGAACACCAGUGGCGAAGGCGGCUCACUGGUCCAUUACUGACGCUGAGGUGCGAAAGCGUGGGGAGCAAACAGGA
RNAcentral lists this ribosomal RNA (257 nucleotides) under uncultured prokaryote. RNAcentral's name for it is "partial 16S ribosomal RNA". It matches the Rfam family "Bacterial small subunit ribosomal RNA", at positions 521 to 777 of the family's 1533-position model. The record is from RNAcentral.